AGUGGGGAAUUUUGGACAAUGGGGGAAACCCUGAUCCAGCCAUGCCGCGUGAGUGCAGAAGGCCUUCGGGUUGUAAAGCUCUUUUGGUCGGGAAGAAAGGGUUUCCUCGAAUAGAGGAGAUCUAUGACGGUACCGGCAGAAUAAGCACCGGCUAACUACGUGCCAGCAGCCGCGGUAAUACGUAGGGUGCGAGCGUUAAUCGGAAUUACUGGGCGUAAAGAGUGCGUAGGCGGUUCUCCAAGUCCGUUGUGAAAGCCCCGGGCUCAACCUGGGAAUGGCAGUGGAAACUAGGGGACUUGAAUCUGGCAGAGGGGGGUGGAAUGCCGCGUGUAGCAGUGAAAUGCGUAGAGAUGCGGCGGAACACCGAUGGCGAAGGCAGCCCCCUGGGCUGAGAUUGACGCUCAGGCACGAAGGCGUGGGGAGCAAACAGGAUUAGAUACCCUGGUAGUCCACGCCCUAAACGAUGGCAACUAGGUGUUGGGGAAGCGAUUUCCUGGUACCGCAGCUAACGCGUGAAGUUUGCCCGCCUGGGGAGUACGGUCGCAAGAUUAAAACUCAAAGGAAUUGACGGGGACCCGCACAAGCGGUGGAUGAUGUGGAUUAAUUUGAUGCAACGCGAAUAAACCUUACCUACCCCU
Molecule: ribosomal RNA, 638 nt
Filed under: uncultured bacterium
Lineage: Bacteria
Description: bacterial SSU rRNA
Rfam family: Bacterial small subunit ribosomal RNA
Source: RNAcentral